CAGAACUAGCUCUGCUUUCCCACACGAGGCCCUUGUUGCACACUUUUCACCCUGUGGCUGUGAGGAAGCUCCUUGAUCUUAAACAGCCUGAACAGCUCACACACAUCUGAGGGACAGAAGGGCAUAAAACUGAAGUGUGUUUGAGAAGAAAAUCUGAGUGGAACAAAAUAUUUUCUUUAUCAGUAAUCAAUUUUUGUAGCUUUGUUAGAAAACUCUUGGCCCUGUUAAUUGCUUUAAAAAGUAUGUUUUAUUGCUUGAAAGAUCUCUUUUAUCAUGGAAAACUGUCGAGUUCAGGAGGAGAAAAAGGAACAUUAUAUUAAUGGGAAAAGGAGAAUGAUUUUGUUAGUCUUGAUGUACUUUUAAAGAAUUUGAAUUAAGCUACUGACACUCCAUCUGAUUUUCUGCAGUGCUGUACAAUCUGCUCCUCAUGAUCUGAACCUUGAGCAAGGCACAAACAUUUCACACCUGACAGGACCCUCCUUGUGCCCAGGGAACAAACUGCUGGAGGACCUCAUGCCCACCCUGAGCCUGGGGUGCUCCAGAGCCACCCAGCCUUCAUUUGAUAAAGCUGUUCAGGAACAGACUGAAAAUGAAUGAUCAGUCAGAAGGGAAAAAACUCCUGACGAGAAAGGGGAAAUAAAAAGCCUAGAAAAAUUUUAAUCACUGUAAAUGUUGAGAUAAUGGCAUUGCUCUUCAAGCAUUAGCUUUCUAGCAAAUACCAUGGACCUGAACUAUCAGAUGAGAAGAAAGGCGGAGCUGUCUUCAGCUGCUCCUCACACGGCUUUGGCACAACUGGUCAGGAAUGGGAGGAAAUGGCCACUGGAACAACGUCUGGAGAAACAGCAAGGAAAAAUGAUGGGCAUUAGAGAAGGUUUAGGGGAUUUCUGCUAUUUAAGGAUCUUAAGAAUUACUUUGUUGUCAGAAACUGAUGCAUGAUUCUUAUUUUGUUUCCACAGUGUAAAGUGAUUUGCUGCAAUAAAGCAUUUCAAUCUGCAACUGA
Non-coding RNA from Zonotrichia albicollis (white-throated sparrow), 1000 nucleotides. The record is from RefSeq and is a predicted model, not a curated record. Lineage: Eukaryota; Metazoa; Chordata; Aves; Passeriformes; Passerellidae.